GCCGAGAUAGCUUAGCUGGUGGAGCGGCGGACUGUUAAUCCGCAGGUCGUGGGUUCGAAUCCCUCUCUCGGCGCCA
This 76-nucleotide transfer RNA is filed under the name Methanobacteriota archaeon. RNAcentral describes it as "Euryarchaeota archaeon tRNA-Asn". It matches the Rfam family "tRNA". Rfam says of the family: Transfer RNA (tRNA) molecules are approximately 80 nucleotides in length. Their secondary structure includes four short double-helical elements and three loops (D, anti-codon, and T loops). Further hydrogen bonds mediate the characteristic L-shaped molecular structure. tRNAs have two regions of fundamental functional importance: the anti-codon, which is responsible for specific mRNA codon recognition, and the 3' end, to which the tRNAs corresponding amino acid is attached (by aminoacyl-tRNA synthetases). tRNAs cope with the degeneracy of the genetic code in two manners: having more than one tRNA (with a specific anti-codon) for a particular amino acid; and 'wobble' base-pairing, i.e. permitting non-standard base-pairing at the 3rd anti-codon position. RNAcentral also lists the same sequence under 2 other names. The record is from RNAcentral. Lineage: Archaea; Methanobacteriati; Methanobacteriota.